Molecule: ribosomal RNA, 435 nt
Filed under: Klebsiella pneumoniae
Lineage: Bacteria; Pseudomonadati; Pseudomonadota; Gammaproteobacteria; Enterobacterales; Enterobacteriaceae
Description: bacterial SSU rRNA
Rfam family: Bacterial small subunit ribosomal RNA
Source: RNAcentral
CAGGUGUAGCGGUGAAAUGCGUAGAGAUCUGGAGGAAUACCGGUGGCGAAGGCGGCCCCCUGGACAAAGACUGACGCUCAGGUGCGAAAGCGUGGGGAGCAAACAGGAUUAGAUACCCUGGUAGUCCACGCCGUAAACGAUGUCGAUUUGGAGGUUGUGCCCUUGAGGCGUGGCUUCCGGAGCUAACGCGUUAAAUCGACCGCCUGGGGAGUACGGCCGCAAGGUUAAAACUCAAAUGAAUUGACGGGGGCCCGCACAAGCGGUGGAGCAUGUGGUUUAAUUCGAUGCAACGCGAAGAACCUUACCUGGUCUUGACAUCCACAGAACUUUCCAGAGAUGGAUUGGUGCCUUCGGGAACUGUGAGACAGGUGCUGCAUGGCUGUCGUCAGCUCGUGUUGUGAAAUGUUGGGUUAAGUCCCGCAACGAGCGCAACCC